GACGAACACUGGCGGCGUGCCUAAUACAUGCAAGUUGAGCGAUGAAGAUUGGUGCUUGCACCAAUUUGAAGAGCAGCGAACGGGUGAGUAACGCGUGGGGAAUCUGCCUUUGAGCGGGGGACAACAUUUGGAAACGAAUGCUAAUACCGCAUAACAACUUUAAACAUAAGUUUUAAGUUUGAAAGAUGCAAUUGCAUCACUCAAAGAUGAUCCCGCGUUGUAUUAGCUAGUUGGUGAGGUAAAGGCUCACCAAGGCGAUGAUACAUAGCCGACCUGAGAGGGUGAUCGGCCACAUUGGGACUGAGACACGGCCCAAACUCCUACGGGAGGCAGCAGUAGGGAAUCUUCGGCAAUGGACGAAAGUCUGACCGAGCAACGCCGCGUGAGUGAAGAAGGUUUUCGGAUCGUAAAACUCUGUUGGUAGAGAAGAACGUUGGUGAGAGUGGAAAGCUCAUCAAGUGACGGUAACUACCCAGAAAGGGACGGCUAACUACGUG
This 497-nucleotide ribosomal RNA is filed under the name uncultured bacterium. RNAcentral's name for it is "partial 16S ribosomal RNA". It matches the Rfam family "Bacterial small subunit ribosomal RNA", at positions 28 to 507 of the family's 1533-position model. The record is from RNAcentral.